CUACGGGGUGCACCAGUGGGGAAUAUUGCACAAUGGGCGCAAGCCUGAUGCAGCCAUGCCGCGUGUAUGAAGAAGGCCUUCGGGUUGUAAAGUACUUUCAGCGGGGAGGAAGGGAGUAAAGUUAAUACCUUUGCUCAUUGACGUUACCCGCAGAAGAAGCACCGGCGAACUCCGUGCCAGCAGCCGCGGUAAUACGGAGGGUGCAAGCGUUAAUCGGAAUUACUGGGCGUAAAGCGCACGCAGGCGGUUUGUUAAGUCAGAUGUGAAAUCCCCGGGCUCAACCUGGGAACUGCAUCUGAUACUGGGAAGCUUGAGUCUCGUAGAGGGGGGUAGAAUUCCAGGUGUAGCGGUGAAAUGCGUAGAGAUCUGGAGGAAUACCGGUGGCGAAGGCGGCCCCCUGGACGAAGACUGACGCUCAGGUGCGAAAGCGUGGGGAGCAAACAGGAUUAGAUACCCCUGUAGUC
Molecule: ribosomal RNA, 464 nt
Filed under: uncultured bacterium
Lineage: Bacteria
Description: partial 16S ribosomal RNA
Rfam family: Bacterial small subunit ribosomal RNA
Source: RNAcentral